UACAGAGGUCUCGAGCGUUAGGCGGAAUCAUUGGGCGUAAAGCGCGUGUAGGCGGCUCGAUAAGUCUGCUGUGAAAGUCCAGGGCUCAACCCUGGGAUGCCGGUGGAUACUGUCGAGCUCGAGUCCGGAAGAGGCGAGUGGAAUUCCUGGUGUAGCGGUGAAAUGCGCAGAUAUCAGGAGGAACACCAAUGGCGAAGGCAGCUCGCUGGGACGUGACUGACGCUGAGACGCGAAAGCGUGGGGAGCAAACAGG
This 253-nucleotide ribosomal RNA is filed under the name uncultured bacterium. RNAcentral describes it as "partial 16S ribosomal RNA". It matches the Rfam family "Bacterial small subunit ribosomal RNA", at positions 524 to 776 of the family's 1533-position model. The record is from RNAcentral.